GCCAGGUGUGGUGGCAUACACCUGUAAUCCCAGCGCCUUGGAAGGCUGAGACAGGAGGAUGGCAGGUUUGAAGCCAGCCUCGGCAAUGGCAAGGUGCUAAGCAACUAAGUGAGACCCUGUCUCUA
Molecule: small RNA, 125 nt
Filed under: Marmota monax (woodchuck)
Lineage: Eukaryota; Metazoa; Chordata; Mammalia; Rodentia; Sciuridae
Source: RNAcentral